AUUGAACGCUGGCGGCAUGCCUUACACAUGCAAGUCGAACGGCAGCGGGGGAGAAGCUUGCUUUUCCUGCCGGCGAGUGGCGAACGGGUGAGUAAUACAUCGGAACGUGCCCUGUAGUGGGGGAUAACUAGUCGAAAGAUUAGCUAAUACCGCAUACGACCUGAGGGUGAAAGUGGGGGACCGCAAGGCCUCAUGCUAUAGGAGCGGCCGAUGUCUGAUUAGCUAGUUGGUGGGGUAAAGGCCUACCAAGGCGACGAUCAGUAGCUGGUCUGAGAGGACGAUCAGCCAAACUGGGACUGAGACACGGCCCAGACGCCUACGGGAGGCAGCAGUGGGGAAUUUUGGACAAUGGGCGAAAGCCGGAUCCAGCAAUGCCGCGUGUGUGAAGAAGGCCUUCGGGUUGUAAAGCACUUUUGUCCGGAAAGAAAUGGCUCUGGUUAAUACCUGGGGUCGAUGACGGUACCGGAAGAAUAAGGACCGGCUAACUACGUGCCAGCCGCCGCCGUAA
This 508-nucleotide ribosomal RNA is filed under the name uncultured bacterium. RNAcentral describes it as "partial 16S ribosomal RNA". It matches the Rfam family "Bacterial small subunit ribosomal RNA", at positions 30 to 523 of the family's 1533-position model. The record is from RNAcentral.